GGUUCUCAUUUACGGCCGGACCAUCACACACUUAACUGUAAAAUUUGCGAGCACAAUUAGAACCGGUGGGUCACAGGGAGAGAUGAGUCUAGGCCCGGCAGGAAAGCUCUGGGAGGCCUGAACGCACUUAGGAGAGGUGGGGAGAAGGAAGCCCCACCCCGGAAAUGACGUUCACAGCGGAGGCAAUUGAACCUCGGAGCUCAACUCUACACAUGCACAGCGCAAGAAUGUAUGAUAUGGACCAUGAAGAUUCUCGUUUUAUAUAGAUGCACAUGGAUGGGCAUACAAGUAUGAACAUGUGGAUACUGAGAGACAGUGUUAGAAGAAUAUAUAAGAAAUACCACGUGGUCUGGGGAGAUCCCACACGCCACGGAGCAACUAAGCCCAUGCACCACAACUACUGAACCUGCGCUCGAGCCCUCUGGCCGCGACUACUGAAGCCCGCGUGACCACAGAAGCCUGUGCUCCACAAGAGAAGCCACCGCCACGAGAAGCCUGCACACCGCACCCGAAAAUAGCCCCACAACUCGAGAAAGCCCGCAUGCAGCAACAAAGCCCCAGUGCAGCCAAUAAAUAAACAAACGAAGAAAUGUUCAGAGGGGCUGACUCUAAGUGGAGGGAAACUAGACCACAGGGGAUUUUAUUCCUUUUUUUUUUUUGCUUAGCUAUAGUAUCUAAAUUUUAUAUCCUACUAAUAACAACCAUUUAUUGAACGUGUAGCCGGUUUCCAGGAGAAACACUUCACAGGCAAAGACUCAUUUUGUAGUAUUUUACUCCCAUUUUAUAGAAACUGAGGCUCAGAGACACCAAAGACCACGAAGACCACCACCUGGGUUCCUUUGCUGCAUUGACUUCUGAUCAAAUGAAUGUGCUUGUCACAAGGAAAAAAGAAGUGUUUUAAAAAUGCUAGAUAUGUGGGAAUUCCUGGUGGUCCAGAGGUUAAGUCUGCACUUCCAUUGCAGGGGGCACGGGUUCUAUCCCCAGUCGGGGAACUAAGGUCCCGCAUGCGCUGUGGUGUGGCCAAACAUAAAUAAAUAAAAAGAAUG
This is a long non-coding RNA of Bos taurus (domestic cattle), 1046 nucleotides long. The record is from Ensembl. NCBI's taxonomy places the organism in Eukaryota, Metazoa, Chordata, Mammalia, Artiodactyla, Bovidae.